Molecule: small RNA, 79 nt
Filed under: Aureimonas sp. Leaf454
Lineage: Bacteria; Pseudomonadati; Pseudomonadota; Alphaproteobacteria; Hyphomicrobiales; Aurantimonadaceae
Description: Makes More Granules Regulator RNA (mmgR)
Rfam family: Makes More Granules Regulator RNA (mmgR)
About the family: SuhB later renamed mmgR (makes more granules regulator) was a putative non-coding RNA found multiple times in the Agrobacterium tumefaciens genome and related alpha-proteobacteria. Other non-coding RNAs uncovered in the same analysis include: speF, ybhL, metA, and serC. Several studies inSinorhizobium meliloti showed that suhB element is indeed a non-coding RNA:firstly it was detected on Northern blot and called Sm8RNA, secondly in an RNAseq study referred to as SmelC689.
Source: Rfam by way of RNAcentral
UGCCGCCGCCCUUCCCGGGGCGUUUCCUCCCUAGACUCAGACCGCGCUGCCCCAACAGUGCGGUUUUUUUUCGCCUGUC